UAAGCGGAGGAAAAGAAACUAACAAGGAUUCCCCCAGUAACGGCGAGUGAAGCGGGAAGAGCUCAAGCUUAAAAUCUCCAUGUGUAAGCAUGGCGAAUUGUAGUCUAUAGAGGCUGUUGUCAGCACAGCGAUCUGGGAAAAGUCCCUUGGAAAAGGGCAGCACAGAGGGUGAUACUCCCGUCUUUGCUCAGAUCGUCUUGUGUGUACGAUACGCUUUCUUUGAGUCGAGUUGUUUGGGAAUACAGCUCAAAGUAGGUGGUAAAUUCCAUCUAAAGCUAAAUAUUGGUGCGAGACCGAUAGCGAACAAGUACCGUGAGGGAAAGAUGAAAAGAACUUUGAAAAGAGAGUUAAAGAGUACCUGAAACUGUUGAAAGGGAACCGUAUCGUUUCCAGUGUUAUAUCCUGUGCAUAUUUCAUUAGCGGAGCAAUUUGCUGGUGCCCUGUGCAUGGGUGUGACGUCAGAGUCAGUUUGUAUGCUGCGGGAGAUGGUCAGUGAGGAGGUGCUUCACUUCGGUGAAAGUUAUAUCUUGCUGUCUAGUAGCCGUGGUUGAGACUGAGGUGCCUACAACAUGCCUUGGGGUUCGGGGCUGUCUUGUUUUGGAAACUGCUUGGAUAGCUUGCUAUGUCUGUGGUUUUUCAGAGCAAUUGAUGGUGUCGAUAACCCCUGCUGUUCGGGACUCUGGCGAAAUGGAGCGAUAC
RNAcentral lists this ribosomal RNA (699 nucleotides) under Pythiopsis cymosa. RNAcentral's name for it is "eukaryotic LSU rRNA". It matches the Rfam family "Eukaryotic large subunit ribosomal RNA", at positions 47 to 645 of the family's 3401-position model. The record is from RNAcentral. Lineage: Eukaryota; Oomycota; Saprolegniomycetes; Saprolegniales; Saprolegniaceae.